Molecule: ribosomal RNA, 902 nt
Filed under: Meloidogyne incognita (southern root-knot nematode)
Lineage: Eukaryota; Metazoa; Nematoda; Chromadorea; Rhabditida; Meloidogynidae
Also listed under: 1 other name
Description: partial small subunit ribosomal RNA
Rfam family: Eukaryotic small subunit ribosomal RNA
Source: RNAcentral
UACGGACUGAGAUAAUGGUUAACAGAGACAAACGGGGGCAUUUGUAUGGUCCCGUGAGAGGUGAAAUUCUUGGACCGUGGCCAGACAAACUACAGCGAAAGCAUUUGCCAAGAAUGUUUUUAUUAAUCAAGAACGAAAGUCAGAGGUUCGAAGGCGAUCAGAUACCGCCCUAGUUCUGACCGUAAACGAUGCCAACUAGCGAUCCGCCGAUGGAAAUUAUAUUGCCUUGGUGGGGAGCUUCCCGGAAACGAAAGUCUUCCGGUUCCGGGGGAAGUAUGGUUGCAAAGCUGAAACUUAAAGGAAUUGACGGAAGGGCACCACCAGGAGUGGAGCCUGCGGCUUAAUUUGACUCAACACGGGGAAACUCACCCGGCCCGGACACUGUGAGGAUUGACAGAUUGAUAGCUUUUUCAUGAUUCAGUGGAUGGUGGUGCAUGGCCGUUCUUAGUUCGUGGAGUGAUUUGUCUGGUUUAUUCCGAUAACGAGCGAGACUCUAACCUACUAAAUAGUUGGUACAUACUCUUAGUGUAUACAGCUUCUUAGAGGGAUUUGCGGCGUUCAGCCGAAAGAAAUUGAGCAAUAACAGGUCUGUGAUGCCCUUAGAUGUCCGGGGCUGCACGCGCGCUACACUGGCAAAAUCAACGUGCUUGUCCUACCCUGAAAGGGGCGGGUAAACCAUUGAAAAUUUGCCGUGAUUGGGAUCGGAAAUUGCAAUUAUUUUCCGUGAACGAGGAAUUCCAAGUAAGUGCGAGUCAUCAGCUCGCGUUGAUUACGUCCCUGCCCUUUGUACACACCGCCCGUCGCUGCCCGGGACUGAGCCAUUUCGAGAAAUUUGGGGACCGUUGAUUUAAUUUUUCUAAAUUACUUUGAUGGAAACCAAUUUAAUCGCAGUGGCUUGAACC